This 476-nucleotide ribosomal RNA is filed under the name uncultured Planctomycetales bacterium. RNAcentral describes it as "bacterial SSU rRNA". It matches the Rfam family "Bacterial small subunit ribosomal RNA", at positions 364 to 830 of the family's 1533-position model. The record is from RNAcentral. Lineage: Bacteria; Pseudomonadati; Planctomycetota; Planctomycetia; Planctomycetales.
UUUCGCAAUGCCCGAAAGGGUGACGAAGCGACGCCGCGUGCGGGAGGAAGGCCUUCGGGUUGUAAACCGCUGUCGGGAGUUAAGAAAUGCAAGGAUGUUAAUAGCGUUCUUGCUUGACUAAGGCUCCGGAGGAAGCCACGGCUAACUCUGUGCCAGCAGCCGCGGUAAUACAGAGGCGGCAAGCGUUGUUCGGAAUUAUUGGGCGUAAAGAGCACGUAGGCGGCUGUGUAAGUCGGUUGUGAAAGCCUUCCGCUCAACGGAAGAACGGCAUCCGAUACUGCAUGGCUUGAGUGUGGGAGGGGAGAGUGGAACUUCUGGUGGAGCGGUGAAAUGCGUAGAUAUCAGAAGGAACACCGGCGGCGAAGGCGACUCUCUGGUCCAUAACUGACGCUGAGUGUGCGAAAGCUAGGGGAGCAAACGGGAUUAGAUACCCCGGUAGUCCUAGCCGUAAACGAUGGGCACUAAGUAGAGGGGUU